This 72-nucleotide transfer RNA is filed under the name soil metagenome. It matches the Rfam family "tRNA". From Rfam's summary of the family: Transfer RNA (tRNA) molecules are approximately 80 nucleotides in length. Their secondary structure includes four short double-helical elements and three loops (D, anti-codon, and T loops). Further hydrogen bonds mediate the characteristic L-shaped molecular structure. tRNAs have two regions of fundamental functional importance: the anti-codon, which is responsible for specific mRNA codon recognition, and the 3' end, to which the tRNAs corresponding amino acid is attached (by aminoacyl-tRNA synthetases). tRNAs cope with the degeneracy of the genetic code in two manners: having more than one tRNA (with a specific anti-codon) for a particular amino acid; and 'wobble' base-pairing, i.e. permitting non-standard base-pairing at the 3rd anti-codon position. The record is from RNAcentral.
GGGCGCUUGGCUCAGCGGUAGAGCACCGCCUUCACACGGCGGGGGUCAGUGGUUCGAAUCCACUAGCGCCCA